RNAcentral lists this ribosomal RNA (441 nucleotides) under uncultured bacterium. RNAcentral describes it as "partial 16S ribosomal RNA". It matches the Rfam family "Bacterial small subunit ribosomal RNA", at positions 338 to 793 of the family's 1533-position model. The record is from RNAcentral.
CCUACGGGUGGCAGCAGUGGGGAAUAUUGCACAAUGGGGGAAACCCUGAUGCAGCGACGCCGCGUGAGUGAAGAAGUAUUUCGGUAUGUAAAGCUCUAUCAGCAGGGAAGAAAAAAGACGGUACUUGACUAAGAAGCCCCGGCUAACUACGUGCCAGCAGCCGCGGUAAUACGUAGGGGGCAAGCGGGAUCCGGAUUUACUGGGUGUAAGGGGAGCGUAGACGGGGCGGCAAGUCUGAAGUGAAAGGCAGGGGCUUAACCCCUGAACUGCUUUGGAAAUUGCCAUGCUAGAGUGCUGGAGAGGUAAGAGGAAAUCCUAGUGUAGCGGUGAAAUGCGUAGAUAUUAGGAGGAACACCAGUGGCGAAGGCGGCUUACUGUACAGUAACUGACGUUGAGGCUCGAAAGCGUGGGGAGCAAACAGGAUAAGAGACCCCAGUAGAG